UCACUGUCUUUCCUCCGUCGUAGCAAGACCCACCCCGGGCAGACUUGCGCGACUAGGAAAGGCAUCCGGUGUCUUUAACAUUUCCUAAGCUCAAGUUCUGGAAUGCACAAACGGGAUUCGAUCUCGGCCAUGUUCCGCGGCUUAUAUAAGUCUGACACCUUUCGAGCAGUGUUUGGUAUAUUUCGUUUGCACGGACGCUGAUCGUUACAUCUUUAUUAAGUAUUUGCAUUUCCUGUGAACAAUCAGCAACUCAACUAUGGCCAAUCGCUGUUACAAAUUAACAAUUCUACACUCCCGGCUCGUGUGACCGAUUGCCGUUUGCAAUACCGAUUCAUUACAGUCGCUAAAAGUGACGCGCGAGUGUAAAAUUUACGAAAACAGCAAUUCAAUUAACACGGUAUUAUUACAGCUGAACAAACUGUAAAUUGGAUCUGCUGCACUCGACCGCCACUCCGGCGGGCACCACUAUAUUCGGCGGAGCGACCAGGAAUAUUGUGGUUUCAACGUAUUCAAUGGAACCGAUGCACAAAUUAUGAGUAAUGCAACCGUGUGGAUUGUAUAACAGUCGCGGAAAAUACUAUCCGAGAUAAUUUAAUAUCUACAGUAUACACGCACAGUGUUAUGGGUCAUCGCGACCUACGUUUAGUGCACGCCCGUGUGGAGUAUACAACUCGGCACAGUGCGAUUUUCAACGCUGUUACACUGUGUGUCAUAUGGAUGAACGUGCGUGUUGGAAAUCGUCGGACGAAUAAUUAUUUUAUUCGUAAUUAUAUUUUAUUGUCGGACAGAAUAUUUUGAUGAUGCACCGUUUCGCGCCGUUAAGGCACGAUACAAAUUAUUCAAAUUAAUUCUUGCAUAGUCUGUAUCUAUACUUAAUAUUAUAAAUAGGAAACAUUUAAUUGUUUGUAUUGAAUAGGCUCCGAAACUGCUGAACCGGUUUGAAUGAAAUUUGGUACAUAGAUAGUUUAGGCACUGAGAAAGGACAUAGGCUACUUUUUAAUACCAAAAAAGGGCUGCAAGGGGUUGAAAUAGGGGAUGGUAUAUAUUAUAACAAAACUAAUUUUAAAAAAUUAAAAAAAAAAAAAGUAAUUAGACAUAUUUUUAGUAUCCUAGAACCGCUUAGAAGAAAUUUAAUAACAAAUAUUAUUAAACAAUUAAAAAAUACAUAUGUCUAUAGCUUUUACCACCUUAGAGGUGGAAUAUUGAAAAAUCCUUUCUUAAUGCAUCCCCCUACAUUGCUUAAGGAACCUCUGUACAAAAUUUCAAAUCUCUAGACCCAGUGGUUCGGUCUGAGCGUUAAUGAGUGAAUUACUAAAUAGAUAACAACAAAAAAAAAAAAAAAGUAAAUAAAUUACUUUAGAGUAACUUUUUGAUAAAGUUUUACUGAAAAAUGAAAAUAUGUUUUUCCUUUGUGGAGUCAUAAAAAUACAUGCAACUAUUGGAUAGGGUCGACUGAAAUUUUGUAUUAAACUAAUAAAUAUAUAUUAGUACAUUCUAAAUAAUAACGCCGCUGCCGUCUGACGUAUUUCACUUCCAUUGCAUCUUGCGACUAUUAAACACGUAUUUAUUCGAAUACACUUUGAAAACCGUUUGAUCAACGUGAGCUUCACACACUAUUCACUCGUCUAAUACACGGGCAACGUCGAUUUGAUUGUUUUUAUUGAAUAGGCUCCGACUGUUAUCGUUAUCGUGGUGGCGUGUGUGUAUAUUUUGUGUUGUGUAUAUAUAUAUAUAUAUGUAUUUAUUACUAUUCAAACAAACAAUCAAAUUUUUUCUUUUUACAAUAUUAGUGUAGAUUAGUGUCGGCGCACACUCACACACAAUACAUUACACUCGGAAUUCACCUGAUGAGGUGACUUUCCAACGAACGUCGUUUUGCCCGGGCAACGCUUGGUGGGACAAUUAGUAUUAUAUAUAGGUAAUUUAACUGUCUGAACAUUUCCAUAAAUUAUAAUAAUCGUGAAAAUAUUGGUUCGAUAUUUUUAUUCAAUAACCUGCAGUUUUAGUAAAAAAUCUGCUUCAAAGUUAUUAUCAAGUUAUAAUUAAUAAUAUUUACUGUUCUAUGUAUAU
Rhopalosiphum padi (bird cherry-oat aphid) is the source of this 2070-nucleotide long non-coding RNA. RefSeq lists it as uncharacterized. The record is from RefSeq and is a predicted model, not a curated record. Lineage: Eukaryota; Metazoa; Arthropoda; Insecta; Hemiptera; Aphididae. The transcript has 3 exons.